This 253-nucleotide ribosomal RNA is filed under the name uncultured bacterium. RNAcentral's name for it is "partial 16S ribosomal RNA". It matches the Rfam family "Bacterial small subunit ribosomal RNA", at positions 524 to 776 of the family's 1533-position model. The record is from RNAcentral.
UACGUAGGUGGCAAGCGUUGUCCGGAUUUACUGGGCGUAAAGAGCGUGUAGGCGGCCCGAUAAGUCCGCUGUGAAAGUCCAGGGCUCAACCCUGGGAUGCCGGUGGAUACUGUCGGGCUCGAGUCCGGAAGAGGAGUGUGGAAUUCCUGGUGUAGCGGUGAAAUGCGUAGAUAUCGUUUGGAACGCCAAUGGUGAAAACAGACAGCUGGGAGUGUGCUGACGCUGAGACACGAAAGCCAGGGGAGCGAACGGG